Molecule: ribosomal RNA, 428 nt
Filed under: uncultured bacterium
Lineage: Bacteria
Description: partial 16S ribosomal RNA
Rfam family: Bacterial small subunit ribosomal RNA
Source: RNAcentral
GUCGAGAAUUUUCCGCAAUGCGCGAAAGCGUGACGGAGCGACACCGCGUGAUGGAUGAAGUCCUUCGGGGCGUAAACAUCUUUUAUAAAGGAGGAAAUUUUUGACGUUACUUUAUGAAUAAGGGGCUCCCAAUCUCGUGCCAGCAGGAGCGGUAAUACGAGAGCCUCAAGCGUUAUCCGGAAUCAUUGGGCGUAAAGGGUGCGUAGGUGGUUUGAUUAGUCUCCCGUUAAAACUUCGAGCUUAACUCGAAAAGAGCGGGGGAAACGGUCAAACUAGAGUAUGUGAGAGGUGUGUGGAACUCAUGGUGUAGGGGUGAAAUCCGUUGAUAUCAUGGGGAACACCAAAAGCGAAGGCAGCACACUGGCACAUCACUGACACUGAGGCACGAAACCUAAGGUAGCGAAUGGGAUUAGAUACCCUUGUAGUCC